CAAAGUCUCACAAGUUGAUAAUGA
RNAcentral lists this non-coding RNA (24 nucleotides) under Arabidopsis thaliana (thale cress). Lineage: Eukaryota; Viridiplantae; Streptophyta; Magnoliopsida; Brassicales; Brassicaceae. The record is from RNAcentral.